CGAUUGGUGGCUGGGAGUAGCGUCAUUGAUGCACCCUGCACGGGGAGCCGAGUGGCCUAGCCAAACAUCAUGCAUACUAGUACGGGGUAUGGGAUGGUGAUUCUGCAUCGGUCGAUCCUUGGGUCUUGAGGCACCUUUCUGUGGGUGAUUGAAGCAUCCGUGCAUCCGUUGCCGCCGCAUCAAAGCCUGUCAAGGCUAUGGUCCGGGGCUGAGAUUGGCCCGCCAUCUCGACUAGGGUGCGCAGAAGAAUGCAAAGGGCUUGAGACCGGGCCAAUCCCCGCUGCGAAAUGAGGGGCAGAAGAGGAACAAGAUGCACGCAUGUCCUGGGCGGUAAGCCAUCGAUCAGAGGGAUUGGUGAGGGG
This 362-nucleotide small RNA is filed under the name Histoplasma capsulatum. RNAcentral's name for it is "hypothetical RNA". RNAcentral also lists the same sequence under 1 other name. Lineage: Eukaryota; Fungi; Ascomycota; Eurotiomycetes; Onygenales; Ajellomycetaceae. The record is from RNAcentral.